CAGUCGCCGCGGUAAGACAGAGGAUGCAAGCGUUAUCCAGAAUGAUUGGGUGUAAAGCGUCUGUAGGUGGCUUUUCAAGCCCGCCGUCAAAUCCUAGGGCUCAACCCUGGACAGGCAGUGGAAACUACCAAGCUGGAGUACGGUAGGGGUAGAGGGAAUUUCCGGUGGAGUGGUAAAAUGCGUUGAGAUCGGAAAGAACACCAAUGGCGAAAGCACUCUGCUGGGCCGACACUGACACUGAGAGACGAAAGCUAGGGGAGCAAAUGGGAUUAGAUACCCCUGUAGUCCCUGUCUCUUAUAU
RNAcentral lists this ribosomal RNA (301 nucleotides) under uncultured bacterium. Its description in RNAcentral is "partial 16S ribosomal RNA". It matches the Rfam family "Bacterial small subunit ribosomal RNA", at positions 509 to 809 of the family's 1533-position model. The record is from RNAcentral.